Molecule: ribosomal RNA, 460 nt
Filed under: uncultured bacterium
Lineage: Bacteria
Description: partial 16S ribosomal RNA
Rfam family: Bacterial small subunit ribosomal RNA
Source: RNAcentral
CCUACGGGAGGCAGCAGUGAGGAAUAUUGGUCAAUGGGCGCGAGCCUGAACCAGCCAAGUAGCGUGAAGGAUGACUGCCCUACGUGUUGUAAACUUCUUUUAUAAAGGAAUAAAGUGAGGCACGUGUGCCUUUUUGUAUGUACUUUAUGAAUAAGCAUAGGCUAACUCCGUGCCAGCAGCCGCGGUAAUACGGAGGAUGCGAGCGUUAUCCGGAUUUAUUGGGUUUAAAGGGAGCGUAGAUGGCUCGGUAAGUCAGUUGUGAAAGUUGGGGGCUCAACCGUAGAAGUGCAAUCGAUACUGGCAGCCGUGAGUACAGUUGAGGUAGGCGGAAUUCGCGGUGUAGCGGUGAAAUGCUGAGAUAUCACGCAGAACUCCGAUUGCGAAGGCAGCCUACGAAACUGCCACUGACAUUGAGGCUCGAAAGUGUGGGUAUCAAACAGGAUUAGAUACCCGAGUAGUC